CCUGUGAUCCCAGCUACUUGGGAGGCUGAGGCAGGAGAAUGGCUUGAACCUGGGAGGUGGAGCUUGCAGUGAGCCGAGAUUGCGCCACUGCACUCCAGCCUGGGCAACAGAGCGAGACUGUGUCUCAAAACAAAACAAAGAACAUGUCACUGAAAUGUAGGCCUGAGGGAAAGAAGCAAACGAUCAGUGGAAUUUUUUUCUGCCCAGUGUUAAAAAUUGAAAUUGACCUCCAAGCUGUCAAUGCCUUCAACUCUACCAUUGCCCAACAAUUCUCAAAAAGAUACAGGGUUUGGACAUCAGACUUCAGAUAAACAUACUCCCACAAGCAGGAGGAAAAACCACUCUGCCCGUGUGGGUUAAGGCUAGAGGAGCUUUAGAUGAACAAAAGCACCAAAUAAUAUGGAAUGCAGUUUGGAAAACAAGGAUCGGUUAGAGGAAGAUGGUAAUUUACAGAGGAGCUUCACUGGGAAAAUUCAGACUUCAGAAUAAGCUGAAGAUCUUCCUGAAUUCACACAAGAGAGGGAGAGGGUAUCUUCUACCUUAGAAAAUAAAAUAAAACAGAGUUGUUCCUGGAGGAACCACCUUAGAUUUUGGAGCAGAAAUUGAUGUGAAUCUGGCUCAGCCUCUAAGGGCAAAUUCUCAACAAUCAAGAUGUCAGGGAGUGGGGUUCAGUGGUCCUCCCACUUCUGAUUUCCUAAGAACAAGCUGAUUGGAGGCUGUUGGCGCCGAGAAGCUAUAAGCAGAACUAGAAGCAGAGCAGGCUAUAUGAUUGAUUAGGGGUGCAUAUUUGCCUUUCUCAGUUGGUCCUAAGUGGAAGUGGAGACAGAAAUGAAGAAAUCUGGCAGUUAUUGACCAAGCCCUUACUGUUUGAGGCCAAUUGCUGUAGAGGAUUUGUUUGGCUUCCUUCCAGGGCUGGUUGCUACAGAGGUUAUGGGACAAAGGUCUGUGUUUAUAUUUGAUUCUGUCCAUUGUCCUUUUGUAUAGUCAGUCUCUCACUAGCGAUGUAUGACAGUUCCAGCUGCUCUGUAUUCUCACCAGUACUUGGUACUGUUUGUUUUGGAUGCAAG
Molecule: long non-coding RNA, 1067 nt
Filed under: Homo sapiens (human)
Lineage: Eukaryota; Metazoa; Chordata; Mammalia; Primates; Hominidae
Description: HSALNT0236246
Source: RNAcentral